This 295-nucleotide long non-coding RNA is filed under the name Homo sapiens (human). RNAcentral's name for it is "non-protein coding lnc-CD3D-4:1". Lineage: Eukaryota; Metazoa; Chordata; Mammalia; Primates; Hominidae. The record is from RNAcentral.
UGCCGCAGCUCGAGGCCUGGAUCCACAACAUCACCCAUGGGUCAGGGAUCGGCUGGCCACUUGAGGCCUUCUAGACUUUGUCUAGGAAUGAGCUCAACGUCUCCCAGGCCCAGCGCCACGCGCUGCCCUUCACCAAGGUCUUCACCACCUGCUGCCCUUUGCGUGUGCAGGAGGUGUGCGGCGGCGCACUGCAGCUGCAGAACUACCGGCCCGUGUACUCUGAGGACCAGCAGCACGACCUCGCCCUGGAUCUGGUGCUGUCACAAGGCCCAAACCACUUCAGCUGGUUGUCUUC